RNAcentral lists this ribosomal RNA (522 nucleotides) under bacterium W13C18_B. RNAcentral's name for it is "bacterial SSU rRNA". It matches the Rfam family "Bacterial small subunit ribosomal RNA", at positions 107 to 664 of the family's 1533-position model. The record is from RNAcentral.
UGAGUAACGCGUGGGAAGCUACCUUGUGGUAGGGGACAACAGUUUGAAAAGACUGCUAAUACCCUAUGAGCCCUAUGGGGGAAAGAUUUAUCGCCAUGAGAUGUGCCCGCGUUAGAUUAGCUAGUUGGUAAGGUAAUGGCUUACCAAGGCGACGAUCUAUAGCUGGUCUGAGAGGAUGAUCAGCCACACUGGGACUGAGACACGGCCCAGACUCCUACGGGAGGCAGCAGUGGGGAAUAUUGGACAAUGGGGGCAACCCUGAUCCAGCCAUGCCGCGUGUGUGAUGACGGCCUUAGGGUUGUAAAGCACUUUCAGCAGUGAAGAUAAUGACAUUAACUGCAGAAGAAGCCCCGGCUAACUUCGUGCCAGCAGCCGCGGUAAUACGAAGGGGGCUAGCGUUGUUCGGAAUCACUGGGCGUAAAGAGUACGUAGGCGGACUGAUAAGUUAGGGGUGAAAUCCCAAGGCUCAACCUUGGAACUGCCUUUGAUACUGUCAGUCUUGAGAUCGAGAGAGGUGAGUGG